This 484-nucleotide ribosomal RNA is filed under the name uncultured bacterium. RNAcentral describes it as "partial 16S ribosomal RNA". It matches the Rfam family "Bacterial small subunit ribosomal RNA", at positions 28 to 523 of the family's 1533-position model. The record is from RNAcentral.
GGCGAACGCUGGCGGCGUGCUUAACACAUGCAAGUCGAACGAUGAAGCCGGAGCUUGCUCUGGUGAAUUAGUGGCGAACGGGUGAGUAACACGUGAGUAACCUGCCCUUGACUCUGGGAUAACUGCGGGAAACUGUAGCUAAUACCGGAUACGACCAUCGGAGGCAUCUCCUGGGGGUGGAAAGAAUUUCGGUCAAGGAUGGACUCGCGGCCUAUCAGCUAGUUGGUGAGGUAAAGGCUCACCAAGGCGACGACGGGUAGCCGGCCUGAGAGGGUGACCGGCAACCGGGGGAAAGAGACACGGCCCGGACUACUAAGGGAGGCAGCAGUGGGGAAUAUUGCACAAUGGGCGCAAGCCUGAUGCAGCAACGCCGCGUGAGGGAUGACGGCCUUCGGGUUGUAAACCUCUUUUAGCAGGGAAGAAGCGAAAGUGACGGUACCUGCAGAAAAAGCACCGGCUAACUACGUGCCAGCCGCCGCAGUAA